Molecule: ribosomal RNA, 477 nt
Filed under: uncultured bacterium
Lineage: Bacteria
Description: bacterial SSU rRNA
Rfam family: Bacterial small subunit ribosomal RNA
Source: RNAcentral
CAGGACGAACGCUGGCGGCGUGCUUAACACAUGCAAGUCGAGCGAUGAAGCUCUUCGGAAGUGGAUUAGCGGCGGACGGGUGAGUAACACGUGGGUAACCUGCCUCAUAGAGGGGAAUAGCCUUCCGAAAGGAAGAUUAAUACCGCAUAAGAUUGUAAUAUCGCAUGAUAUAGCAAUUAAAGGAGCAAUCCACUAUGAGAUGGACCCCGCGUCGCAUUAGCUAGUUGGUGAGGUAACGGCUCACCAAGGCGACGAUGCGUAGCCGACCUGAGAGGGUGAUCGGCCACAUUGGGACUGAGACACGGCCCAGACUCCUACGGGAGGCAGCAGUGGGGAAUAUUGCACAAUGGGGGAAACCCUGAUGCAGCCAACGCCGCGUGAGUGAUGACGGUCUUCGGAUUGUAAAGCUCUGUCUUCAGGGACGAUAAUGACGGUACCUGAGGAGGAAGCCACGGCUAACUACGUGCCAGCCGCUGC